Molecule: ribosomal RNA, 253 nt
Filed under: uncultured bacterium
Lineage: Bacteria
Description: partial 16S ribosomal RNA
Rfam family: Bacterial small subunit ribosomal RNA
Source: RNAcentral
UACAGAGGAGCCAAGCGUUGUCCGGAUUGACUGGGCGUAAAGCGCACGCAGGCGGACGCGCGCGUGGGGUGUGAAAUCUGGCCGCUUAACGGCCAGGCGCCAUCCCAUACGGCGGGUCUGGAGUGAUGCAGAGGGCGGUGGAAUUGCCGGUGUAGUGGUGAAAUGCGUAGAGAUCGGCAGGAACACCCAGGGGGAAACCAGCCGCCUGGGCAUCGACUGACGCUGAGGUGCGAGAGCGUGGAGAGCGAACCGG